This 225-nucleotide long non-coding RNA is filed under the name Elaeis guineensis (African oil palm). RNAcentral describes it as "long non-coding RNA (EGUI_LNC051679)". Lineage: Eukaryota; Viridiplantae; Streptophyta; Magnoliopsida; Arecales; Arecaceae. The record is from RNAcentral.
GCUGUCAUGGGAUCUCAAAGUGAAGAGUUUAGCGAAGUAAAUGUACUAGAGGGAUUUGUAGAAGAAGCCACCCCUACCAUACCCUCACAAGACCUUCUAUAAGCCUAUCUAGCUCAUUUUAAUAUAGACAACUUUGACAUAGAUGGGUACAUGGAAGAAGUGCAUGUCCUAUUAGAGCCAACCAUUUCUGCUCCUCCAUGGAUCAAAAAAUAUGAGCAAAUGCCC